RNAcentral lists this non-coding RNA (22 nucleotides) under Arabidopsis thaliana (thale cress). Lineage: Eukaryota; Viridiplantae; Streptophyta; Magnoliopsida; Brassicales; Brassicaceae. The record is from RNAcentral.
CGUUUUCGUCUUGUCCAAUCGC